RNAcentral lists this ribosomal RNA (458 nucleotides) under uncultured bacterium. RNAcentral describes it as "partial 16S ribosomal RNA". It matches the Rfam family "Bacterial small subunit ribosomal RNA", at positions 338 to 795 of the family's 1533-position model. The record is from RNAcentral.
CCUACGGGUGGCAGCAGUGAGGAAUAUUGGUCAAUGGGCGAGAGCCUGAACCAGCCAAGUCGCGUGAGGGAGUACUGCCCUAUGGGUUGUAAACCUCUUUUGUCGGGGAGCAAAAGCCGGACGUGUUCGGCUGUGAGAGUACCCGAAGAAAAAGCAUCGGCAAACUCCGUGCCAGCAGCCGCGGUAAUACGGAGGAUGCGAGCGUUAUCCGGAUUUAUUGGGUUUAAAGGGUGCGCAGGCGGAUUUUUAAGUCAGCGGUAAAAUCGUGGGGCGCAACCCCAUCCAGCCGUUGAAACUGGGGAUCUAGAGUGUGCGGGAGGUAUGCGGAAUGCGUGGUGUAGCGGUGAAAUGCAUAGAUAUCACGCAGAACCCCGAUUGCGAAGGCAGCAUACCGGUGCACAACUGACGCUCAGGCACGAAAGCGUGGGUAUCGAACAGGAUUAGAUACCCCUGUAGUC